CAGGUAGGUGGCUAUGUAAGUUGGGGGUGAAAUCCUUUGGCUCAACCAAAGAACUGCCCUCAAAACUACAUAGCUUGAGACUGAGAGAGGAGAACGGAAUUCCCGGUGUAGGAGUGAAAUCUGUAGAUAUCGGGAGGAACACCAGUGGCGAAGGCGGUUCUCUGGCUCAGUUCUGACACUCAGCUGCGAAAGCUAGGGGAGCAAACAGGAUUAGAUACCCUGGUAGUCCUAGCCGUAAACGAUGAGCACUAGGUGUUUGACCGUAAGGUUGGGCGCCGUAAGAUAACUCGUUAAGUGCUCCACCUGGGGACUACGACCGCAAGGUUAAA
Molecule: ribosomal RNA, 329 nt
Filed under: uncultured bacterium
Lineage: Bacteria
Description: bacterial SSU rRNA
Rfam family: Bacterial small subunit ribosomal RNA
Source: RNAcentral